UUUGACCUCAAAUCAGGUAGGACUACCCGCUGAACUUAAGCAUAUCAAUAAGCGGAGGAAAAGAAACUAACAAGGAUUCCCCUAGUAACUGCGAGUGAAGCGGGAAAAGCUCAAAUUUGAAAUCUGGCAGUCUAUUUUUUCUUCUUUGGCUGUCCGAGUUGUAAUCUAGAGAAGUGCUUACCUGCACUGGACCAUGUAUAAGUCUCCUGGAAUGGAGCGUCACAGAGGGUGAGAAUCCCGUCUUUGACAUGGACUGCCAGUGUGUUGUGGUGUGCUCUCAAAGAGUCGAGUUGUUUGGGAAUGCAGCUCUAAAUGGGUGGUAAACUCCAUCUAAAGCUAAAUAUUGGCGAGAGACCGAUAGCGAACAAGUACCGUGAGGGAAAGAUGAAAAGGACUUUGGAAAGAGAGUUAAACAGUAUGUGAAAUUGUUGAAAGGGAAACGCUUGAAGUCAGUUAUGUUGGCUAGGGAUCAACCUAGCUGUCUUUUGCUGGGUGAAUUUCCUAGUCUGACAGGCCAACAUCAGUCUUGACUGCUGGAAAAGAGCAGAGGGAAUGUGGCACCUUCGGGUGUGUUAUAGCCCUUUGUCAUAUGUGGCGGUUGGGACUGAGGGAUGCAGCGUGCCGCGAGGCUGGGUUUCGACCACGUUCACGCUUAGGAUGUUGGCUUUUAAUGGCUUCAAUCGACCCGUCUUGAAACACGGACCAAGGAGUCUAACAUGCCUGCAAGUGUUUGGGUGGAAAACCCUUGCGCACAAUGAAAGUGAAAGUUGAGAUCCCUGUCAUGGGGAGCAUCGACGCCCGGACUUGAGCUUUUAGCGACGGAUCCGCGGUAGAGCAUGCAUGUUGGGACCCGAAAGAUGGUGAACUAUGCCUGAAUAGGGCAAAGCCAGAGGAAACUCUGGUGGAGGCUCGUAGCGAUUCUGACGUGCAAAUCGAUCGUCAAAUUUGGGUAUAGGGGCGAAAG
RNAcentral lists this ribosomal RNA (964 nucleotides) under Amanita fulva. Its description in RNAcentral is "partial 28S ribosomal RNA". It matches the Rfam family "Eukaryotic large subunit ribosomal RNA", at positions 1 to 929 of the family's 3401-position model. The record is from RNAcentral. Lineage: Eukaryota; Fungi; Basidiomycota; Agaricomycetes; Agaricales; Amanitaceae.